RNAcentral lists this long non-coding RNA (1230 nucleotides) under Apteryx owenii (little spotted kiwi). Its description in RNAcentral is "lncRNA (ENSAOWG00000016970.1)". Lineage: Eukaryota; Metazoa; Chordata; Aves; Apterygiformes; Apterygidae. The record is from RNAcentral.
AGGCCGGGGGUAGCGACACGCCAGGGCCGCGCGGCGGCGGCCGGCGAUGCGAAAGCGAAAGCGGGCGCCGGGCUGGGCCGGCCCCGCCGCCCGUGACCUUCCCGCGGCCUGGCAGGUGCCGGAGCGGGAGCCGGGGCCGGUAGGCGGCGGGCGGACACUAGCUCCUGCUCCCCACCCCCCUCCGCGCCCGCUCUCUCACACGGACGCGCGAGCCGGCGGGUCCCGGCGGCCGGACGGGAGGAAGGCGGCGGUCGGCGGCAGCUUGGCCCCUCGGCGCCUCGCUCAGCGGCGGCCGCGUCCCUCGCUUCCGUCCUCCGCCCGGCUUCCGCGGCCCAGCACGAAGGUUCCGCCCGCGAGGGGGAGUGGGUUGGGGCGCCGUUAACGGCCCCUCAGCGGCGCGGCCCGCGGCUCCUACACCGUGCGCGGAGCCGGCUGCCGGCCUAGGAGCUGCGGGCGAGCGGCCCAUGCGGCGGCCUGGGGGAAGGCAGGCGCGGGCGACGGCGUUUGCCUCGGGCCCAGGGGAGGGACGGAGAUCGGUGGCCGGCGAGGCGCGGGGAAGCGGCCGGUGGCUGGCGGAGGAGGGAGCACCGGGAAGCGGUCUGGCGCUGCCCUCCCAAUCUUUCUUCACUGUUUCAAACGGGGGGCUUUCAAUGAGGCCAGGCUUGCAGCUCGCGGCAUUCCUGAAGCGUCCGCUUGACAAGCUCCUGCACGUCUCCUUUCUGCGCCUUGCAGCUUUCUUCAAAGGUAUGUUAUCUUUGAUCUGCAUUGAAUAUCCCUCAAGUUACUUACUGUCCACCAAAAGAAUGUUGUGAAGACAGUGUUUCUGAGAAAGGCAAAUUUGCUUCUACCUAGUGACCCUGUUUCUUCAAAGGUAUUAUCUGGCAGGCUCUCCUCUGUUCCCUCAGUAUUUGGGGCAGAUGCCCAUCUCCAGCAGUUUGCAUUCCUGAUGCUUCAUCUGAAGUCAUACAUACAUUCUAAGUUGCCUUCCAGGAUGUUGUUUUGUAUUACCUCAGCAGGCUAACAUUUCACCUGUCUGCACAAAAGAAAAAGCCAUAGCCGUAUCAAACUAUGAUAGAGAAACUGAUAGUUAGCUGAGGCUCCAGCCAGCUUUCAUACUCAGAAGUCCAGCUUGGGAUGGGCAACUCGAUGGUCGCUGUUCUGCAAAUCAUUGACACGGGCAAUUCUCACUGCCUUAAUAAAGCAGUUUUCAGAUCAGAGUGUGAAGAAACU